UUAAGUUCAGCGGGUAGUCCUACCUGAUUCGAGGUCAACCUUAAAAAAGUCGGGGGUUUUACGGCGUGGCCACGCUGCUCUUCCAGUGCGAGGUUAAGUUACUACGCAGAGGUCGCCGCAACGGGCCGCCACUGAAUUUCGGGGUCGGCGCCGGACUGUGUCCCGCUUUGCCGUUCCCCAACACGAUCUCGUCAAUGAAG
RNAcentral lists this unclassified non-coding RNA (200 nucleotides) under Simplicillium sp. Its description in RNAcentral is "partial internal transcribed spacer 2". Lineage: Eukaryota; Fungi; Ascomycota; Sordariomycetes; Hypocreales; Cordycipitaceae. The record is from RNAcentral.